AUUGAACGCUGGCGGCAGGCCUAACACAUGCAAGUCGAACGGUAGCACAGAGAGCUUGCUCUCGGGUGACGAGUGGCGGACGGGUGAGUAAUGUCUGGGAAACUGCCCGAUGGAGGGGGAUAACUACUGGAAACGGUAGCUAAUACCGCAUAACGUCGCAAGACCAAAGUGGGGGACCUUCGAGCCUCACACCAUCGGAUGUGCCCAGAUGGGAUUAGCUAGUAGGUGGGGUAAUGGCUCACCUAGGCGACGGUCCCUAGCUGGUCUGAGAGGAUGACCAGCCACACUGGAACUGAGACACGGUCCAGACUCCUACGGGAGGCAGCAGUGGGGAAUAUUGCACAAUGGGCGCAAGCCUGAUGCAGCCAUGCCGCGUGUAUGAAGAAGGCCUUCGGGUUGUAAAGUACUUUCAGCGGGGAGGAAGGCGGUGAAGUUAAUAACUUCACCGAUUGACGUUACCCGCAGAAGAAGCACCGGCUAACUCCGUGCCAGCCGCCGCCGUAA
This 504-nucleotide ribosomal RNA is filed under the name uncultured bacterium. RNAcentral describes it as "partial 16S ribosomal RNA". It matches the Rfam family "Bacterial small subunit ribosomal RNA", at positions 30 to 523 of the family's 1533-position model. The record is from RNAcentral.